AAUCAACGCUGGCGGCGUGCCUCAGACAUGCAAGUCGAACGAUUAAGACUCUCUUCGGAGAGUGCAUAAAGUGGCGCACGGGUGAGUAACACGUAAGUAAUCUACCUUUGGGUGGGGAAUAACAGUCGGAAACGACUGCUAAUACCGCAUAACGCAGCGGCUCCUUAUGGAGACAGUUGUUAAAGAUUUAUCGCCUAAAGAGGAGCUUGCGGCAGAUUAGCUAGNGGUAAGGUAACGGCUUACCAAGGCGACGAUCUGUAUCCGACCUGAGAGGGUGGUCGGACACACUGACACUGAAUAACGGGUCAGACUCCUACGGGAGGCAGCAGUCGGGAAUUUUGGGCAAUGGGCGAAAGCCUGACCCAGCAACGCCGCGUGAAGGAUGAAGUCUUUCGGGUA
Molecule: ribosomal RNA, 399 nt
Filed under: uncultured bacterium
Lineage: Bacteria
Description: bacterial SSU rRNA
Rfam family: Bacterial small subunit ribosomal RNA
Source: RNAcentral